This is a long non-coding RNA of Alosa sapidissima (American shad), 515 nucleotides long. RefSeq lists it as uncharacterized. The record is from RefSeq and is a predicted model, not a curated record. Lineage: Eukaryota; Metazoa; Chordata; Actinopteri; Clupeiformes; Clupeidae. The transcript is spliced from 4 exons.
AUGUACUCAUUAGCGUCAAUGGCACUUUCUAUAAGACCGGCACCGGAGGUGGGCCAGUAAGUGAUCCCUAGGCUCCGUACGUCCUCCCUACACUGUGUUCGCUGUGCUGUCACCUAUGAAAGGUAUUUGGCUGUGUACCAGACGCUUCCGGGUAGUGUUUUGUUGAUCUACCGAAGGUCUUGACUGAAAAGACGCCGUGUACGCGCAGGUUGCACUGUCUAUUGGGAGAUGCGUUAAGGUUUGCGUACUGGAGAGAUACCAGGGAGUCCCAUUUCCAUUCAUGUUGAGUGGUGUAUUCCUAGAGGUAAAAGGAAACCUUGUUGUAUUGUAUCUGUAUUGGUUUAGGCUGUAUUUACCAUAAACAAUGGAUUUUAACUGUGUUUGUUUACUCCUUUAGAAAGAUUGCCACUGCUGCUUUGCCUCCUGUAGAUUUAAGUAAUUGUAGCUCUUGCCUCAUUUUGUUUUCUUUAUUUUGUUUUGUUUGUCCGAUUGAUUUGGCCUAAACAUAGGUGUGG